UACGUAGGGGGCAAGCGUUGUUCGGAAUGACUGGGCGUAAAGGGUGCGUAGGCGGUGUAGCAAGUUAGAAGUGGAAUACCUAGAGCUUAACUCAGGUGCUGCUUCUAAAACUGCUAUACUUGAGUGCAGUAGAGGAAAGUGGAAUUCCUAGUGUAGCGGUGGAAUGCGUAGAUAUUAGGAGGAACAUCAGUGGCGAAGGCGACUUUCUGGACUGUAACUGACGCUGAGGCACGAAAGUGUGGGGAGCAAACAGG
RNAcentral lists this ribosomal RNA (254 nucleotides) under uncultured bacterium. Its description in RNAcentral is "partial 16S ribosomal RNA". It matches the Rfam family "Bacterial small subunit ribosomal RNA", at positions 524 to 776 of the family's 1533-position model. The record is from RNAcentral.